GACGAACGCUGGCGGCGUGCUUAACACAUGCAAAUCGAACGGAAAGGCCCUGCUUUUGUGGGGUGCUCGAGUGGCGAACGGGUGAGUAACACGUGAGUAACCUGCCCUUGACUUUGGGAUAACUUCAGGAAACUGGGGCUAAUACCGGAUAGGAGCUCCUGCUGCAUGGUGGGGGUUGGAAAGUUUCGGCGGUUGGGGAUGGACUCGCGGCUUAUCAGCUUGUUGGUGGGGUAGUGGCUUACCAAGGCUUUGACGGGUAGCCGGCCUGAGAGGGUGACCGGCCACAUUGGGACUGAGAUACGGCCCAGACUCCUACGGGAGGCAGCAGUGGGGAAUAUUGCACAAUGGGCGGAAGCCUGAUGCAGCAACGCCGCGUGCGGGAUGACGGCCUUCGGGUGGUAAACCGCUUUCGCCUGUGACGAAGCGUGAGUGACGGUAAUGGGUAAAGAAGCACCGGCUAACUACGU
This 467-nucleotide ribosomal RNA is filed under the name uncultured bacterium. RNAcentral describes it as "partial 16S ribosomal RNA". It matches the Rfam family "Bacterial small subunit ribosomal RNA", at positions 28 to 506 of the family's 1533-position model. The record is from RNAcentral.